Molecule: ribosomal RNA, 460 nt
Filed under: uncultured delta proteobacterium
Lineage: Bacteria; Deltaproteobacteria
Description: bacterial SSU rRNA
Rfam family: Bacterial small subunit ribosomal RNA
Source: RNAcentral
CCGGUAAAGUGGCGCACGGGUGCGUAACACGUAGGCAAUCUUCCCUCAGGCGGGGGAUAACUACCCGAAAGGGUAGCUAAUACCGCGUAAGACCACGAUCUCCACGGAGAUUGCGGUCAAAGGUGGCCUCUUCAUGAAAGCUACCGCCAGAGGAUGAGCCUGCGGCCCAUCAGCUAGUUGGCAGGGUAACGGCCUACCAAGGCUAAGACGGGUAGCCGGUCUGAGAGGAUGAUCGGCCACACUGGCACUGAAACACGGGCCAGACUCCUACGGGAGGCAGCAGUGGGGAAUCUUGGACAAUGGGCGCAAGCCUGAUCCAGCGACGCCGCGUGGGUGAUGAAGGCCUUCGGGUUGUAAAGCCCUGUUGAGGGGAAAGAAAACAGUGAGAUCUAACAGGUCUCGCUCUUGACGGUACCCCUCCAGAAAGCACCGGCUAACUCUGUGCCAGCAGCCGCGGUAA